RNAcentral lists this ribosomal RNA (690 nucleotides) under uncultured bacterium. Its description in RNAcentral is "bacterial SSU rRNA". It matches the Rfam family "Bacterial small subunit ribosomal RNA", at positions 61 to 744 of the family's 1533-position model. The record is from RNAcentral.
GUCGAACGGCAGCGGGGGAGCUUGCUCCUGCCGGCGAGUGGCGAACGGGUGAGUAAUGCAUCGGAACGUGUCCUGUUGUGGGGGAUAACUGAUCGAAAGAUCAGCUAAUACCGCAUGAGACCUGAGGGUGAAAGCGGGGGAUCGCAAGACCUCGCGCGACAGGAGCGGCCGAUGUCUGAUUAGCUAGUUGGUGAGAUAAAAGCUUACCAAGGCGACGAUCAGUAGCUGGUCUGAGAGGAUGAUCAGCCACAUUGGGACUGAGACACGGCCCAGACUCCUACGGGAGGCAGCAGUGGGGAAUUUUGGACAAUGGGGGAAACCCUGAUCCAGCCAUGCCGCGUGCGGGAUGAAGGCCUUCGGGUUGUAAACCGCUUUUGUCAGAGACGAAAAGGGACGUACGAAUAAUACGUUCCGCUGACGGUAUCUGAAGAAUAAGCACCGGCUAACUACGUGCCAGCAGCCGCGGUAAUACGUAGGGUGCAAGCGUUAAUCGGAAUUACUGGGCGUAAAGGGUGCGCAGGCGGCUGUGCAAGACAGAUGUGAAAUCCCCGGGCUUAACCUGGGAACUGCAUUUGUGACUGCACGGCUAGAGUUUGUCAGAGGAGGGUGGAAUUCCGCGUGUAGCAGUGAAAUGCGUAGAUAUGCGGAAGAACACCAAUGGCGAAGGCAGCCCUCUGGGACAUGACUGAC